RNAcentral lists this unclassified non-coding RNA (355 nucleotides) under soil metagenome. RNAcentral describes it as "partial contains 5.8S ribosomal RNA, internal transcribed spacer 2, and large subunit ribosomal RNA". The stretch from base 1 to 120 matches the Rfam family "5.8S ribosomal RNA", at positions 35 to 154 of the family's 154-position model. The record is from RNAcentral.
GAUGAAGAACGUAGUGAAAUGCGAUAAGUAGUGUGAAUUGCAGAAUUCAGUGAAUCAUCGAAUCUUUGAACGCACAUUGCGCCUUCUAGUAUUCUGGGAGGCAUGCCUGUUUGAGCGUCAUUAAACCUCUCUCAAGUAUGAUUACUUGGAUGUGAAGGAAGAGUACCUUAAACUUAAGGAGUGUUCUCCUUUGAAAUUGAUUAGCAGAUGGUAAUGUUAUUAAAUCCCUGAUGUUGUAAGAAAUAACAGUGGUUUUGUAGACUAUUAUCUAGCUUUAAAUUAUAAUUUUUAUUAUGGUUGACCUCAAGUCAGGUAAGGAUACCCGCUGAACUUAAGCAUAUCAAUAAGCGGAGGA